Molecule: ribosomal RNA, 427 nt
Filed under: uncultured bacterium
Lineage: Bacteria
Description: bacterial SSU rRNA
Rfam family: Bacterial small subunit ribosomal RNA
Source: RNAcentral
UUAGGAAUAUUCGUCAAUGGAGGAAACUCUGAACGAGCAAUGCCGCGUGAAGGAUGACGGUCCUAUGGAUUGUAAACUUCUGUUGUUAGGGAAGAACGACCUAAGUAGGAAAUGACUUAGGAGUGACGGUACCUUUCAAGAAAGCUCCGGCUAACUACGUGCCAGCAGCCGCGGUAAUACGUAGGGAGCGAGCGUUAUCCGGAUUUAUUGGGUGUAAAGGGUGCGUAGGCGGCUUUAUAGGUCUGUGGUUUAAGCCCGAAGCUUAACUUCGGUUCGCCACAGAAACCGUUUAGCUUGAGUAUGGUAGAGGCAAGUGGAAUUUCUAGUGUAGCGGUUAAAUGCGUAGAUAUUAGAAGGAACACCAGUGGCGAAGGCGACUUGCUGGGCCAUCACUGACGCUGAGGCACGAAAGCGUGGGGAGCAAAUA